CACCGCUAUCAAAGGCUGACCGCAGCGCCUGUACACGGCGGGCGCCAGUAGGCCGUCCCACUGCUUGAUACACCGCUUACCCUUCCCUCUAUCCCCCCCACACACACACUGCAGCGAUAGGCUUCGGCAUCCGGCAACUCGCAUACACGCGCGGAUACGCGGGGAGAAGUCGAAGCCGCCCGCGGAGUAAUGCGUGCAAAGCGCAUCCGCAGCUCAUUGGCCGAGCGCAUCGAGGACGCGUGCGGUGCGCCUUCAGCAACCGCAAACAGAGGAAAACACACGAGGGCGUCAUUUGAGUGUGCGCGCACGUUUGCGUGGUGAUGCUGGGAGAGUGAGAGGGGGAGGGGGAGUGCGCUGUGUGCUUCGUACACCACCGUCUCUCUUCUCUGCUGGCGCCGCGCAUCAUCGGCACUGGAAGAGGGGUUGCGCCUCUUUUUCUUUCCCGCGUGCGCUGCCUUCACCCCUUCUGCCUGUGGUGUCUGUGCCGCUGUCCCGGCACACGCCCACAGACGUUUCUUCCCGGCUGUUUCCCUCUUUAGUGCGGCGGCAAUCUUGCUGCGAGCCCUUACGCACGAGCAAUGAUAGGUACGCCCACAUAAGCAUAACCAUGUGUCCCGUGCCUCAUCAAGGGCUGCAGCGCAACCGCAGUCCUCGCGUCUCCACGGCGCGAAUGCUUCAACGGGCGCUGUUGCUUGUGGCCCUGCUGUGCAGUUUCUCACUUAUGACGGCGGUGGUGACGACACCCCGCGGCGACGGUGUUCAUGGCACUCUUUGCGUCUCUGCCUUACACGGCGCUGUAUUGGGGAGGGGGAAGGGCCUACGCGCGCCACCGCUCACUGUGCCCUUGCUGCAGCCUGUAGCGCUACCGCACCAUACGGGUUCCGCUGUUGUGGUGGCCGCCGCGCGGGCUGACGGCGAUGUUGACGACAUCGUCACUUUUUCGCAAGCCGGCGAUGUGUUCGCCUUGGAGGAGAGCGCUUCUGCAUCCGUGCCGUCUUCCUCGAGCUCCGGCGUCAGCCCAGGCGCUAACGGGAGGGGCAGCAAAGCAGCAAGGGCUCCAGAGACCCCGGCUUCCUCGUCGUCGUUGUCCGUAGAGCCGUUGCCGCGGGGGUCGUCCGCGGUGUCAUCGUUGAGGAGGUCGCUGUUAUUGCCCUCAGCGGCCGACAUUGUUGUCGUCUUGGUCGGUGAAGGCGACGCGGGCACAGAACUGCCCCCCUCAUCGUCAGCACCCCCUCCCGACAACUUCGGCACGCGCCGCGCACCUGCGAUGCGCCUCGCUCUCCUCGGUCUCAUCGCCCUCGUGGUGCCCGCUGCUAUCAUCGCCCUUGCCAUGUGGUGCGUCUGCCGCCGCACGCGGUACAAGCGAAAGGUAAAGGGCUUGCGUCUCAACGGCACUCGUCAACCCGGCGAGGUGGAUGACGUGGACAUGGGCAACAUUGUCAGGGGCGGCGAUUGGCUGAACCUCGACGCUGCCACCCCAGGCAGAACUAAGAUCGGCGCCAACGGCGCGCGUUUCUCCAUUUUGGCGCCGUCGACCGCUGCUUGCGUUCGCAUGGACGCCACGUUCGACCCGAUCGGGCAGCAGGCCGCGGAGACGCGGCAGCGCAAACGUGCCCGGCGGGUGGCUCGUUCCGGAGGAGGCGUUCCGCCGUCGCUACGUCAGCAUGCAAGAGGAUCAUUGCUUUGCGGUUGAGGUGGCGGAGCUCAACUACCAGCGUGCCGUGGAAUACGUUCAUCAAGCGUCAGCCGCCGGCGCGGUCGCGACACCUGCUCGGCGGAGCGGCCACUGUGCUGCUCUCUUGACGGCCGGUCGCGACGCAGGGCCGCUGGUGGGUCUCCAGCGGGUACGGUGCGAUCAGGCAGCCAUGACGGCUACGCUGAGCACGCUUGCGAAGGAGCUGGCUGCACUGUCGCCGUAGCGCGAUGCGAGACGUAUCGAGCGCAUGCCAGUGGGGUGCUGGGCAACACUUGGCGGCGCGUGGCUCUUUCUCACUGGUUUGGGCACGCCCACGCUGUGGGUGUGUCGGUGUCUGCCCUGCCGCUCUCUCUCCUGAUCUCUCGUCCUGGCAACAACAAC
This 2077-nucleotide unclassified non-coding RNA is filed under the name Leishmania donovani. Its description in RNAcentral is "gene:LdHU3.22.0910(CDS-product:3'a2rel-related_pr otein)". The record is from RNAcentral. Lineage: Eukaryota; Euglenozoa; Kinetoplastea; Trypanosomatida; Trypanosomatidae.